RNAcentral lists this ribosomal RNA (447 nucleotides) under uncultured bacterium. Its description in RNAcentral is "partial 16S ribosomal RNA". It matches the Rfam family "Bacterial small subunit ribosomal RNA", at positions 29 to 523 of the family's 1533-position model. The record is from RNAcentral.
AACGAACGCUGGCGGCAGGCCUAACACAUGCAAGUCGAACGCCCCGCAAGGGGAGUGGCAGACGGGUGAGUAACACGUGGGAACCUUCCCAUCGCUGCGUAACAGCUCAGGGAAACUUGAGGUAAUACCGCAUACGCCCUUACGGGGAAAGAUUUAUCGGCGAUGGAUGGGCCCGCGGCUGAUUAGCUAGUUGGUGAGGUAAUGGCUCACCAAGGCGACGAUCAGUAGCUGGUCUGAGAGGACGACCAGCCACACUGGGACUGAGACACGGCCCAGACUCCUACGGGAGGCAGCAGUGGGGAAUAUUGGACAAUGGGCGCAAGCCUGAUCCAGCCAUGCCGCGUGAGUAACGAAGGUCUUCGGAUUGUAAAGCUCUUUUGGCGGGGACGAUAAUGACGGUACCCGCAGAAUAAGCCCCGGCUAACUUCGUGCCAGCCGCCGCAGUAA